UCAAUAUAAAUUGAUUAAUAUUUAUUUAUUAAUUUUUAUUAUUUUAUUUAUUUAUUAUUAAAAAUAAUUAUAUAGUUUAAUUGUUUUAGUAGAUUUUAUUGAAUAAAUUUUAUUAAUUAUAGUUAAUUAGUACUGUGAAGGAUUAUUGAAAUAAAUUGAAAAAUUUUUAUUAUUAAAGAAAAUUUAUUUUAUUGUACCUUGUGUAUCAGGGUAAAUUAAAUAAUUAAUAAUUAUAUAUUAAUCUCGAUUUUAUAAGAGUUAAUUAUAUUUUUAAGUUAAUAUGUCAAAAUUAUUUAUAAAAUAUAAUUAGAAAUGAAAUGUUAUUCGUUUAUAAUGGUAUCUAGUUUUUUUAGAAAUGAAUUUAAUUCAUUAAUUUUUAAUUUUUUAUUUAAUUAUUUAAUAUAAAAAUUUAUUAAUUAAAAUAUUUUAAGGGAUAAGCUUUAAAGUAAAGUUUUAUAAAUUUUAUUUAUUAUUAAUAAUGUAUGUAUAGAAUUUGCAAUCAUUUGUAAGUUUGUUAUAAAUUAUUUUAUGAAUUUAAUAUUUAAUUAAUUUUAAUUUUAUAUAAAAAUUUUCAUUAAAAUUUUAAAAAUGAAUUAAUAAUGAUUUAAUUAGUAUAUUAUAAUGUAUAAUUAAAUAUUAAUAGGUAGGUUUAUAUAAAGAACUCGGCAAAUAAAAAUAUUCGCCUGUUUAACAAAAACAUGUCUUUUUGUAGUAAAUUUAAAGUCUGACCUGCCCAAUGAAGUUUUAAUGGCCGCAGUAUUCUAACUGUGCAAAGGUAGCAUAAUCAUUAGUCUUUUAAUUGAAGGCUGGAAUGAAUGGUUGGACGAAAUAUAAUCUGUUUCAUAUAAAUUUAGAUAAAAUUUUAUUUUUUAGUUAAAAAGCUAAAAUAUUAUUGAAAGACGAGAAGACCCUAUAAAUCUUUAUAAAAUAAUUAAUUUUAAUUUUUUAGAUAAUUUUUAUUAUAAUUUAUUAUUUUAUUUUAUUGGGGUGAUAUUAAAAUUUAAAAAACUUUUAAUUUUUUAAAUCAUUACUAUAUGAUUAAUUGAUCCUUUAUUAAGGAUUAUAAGAUUAAGUUACUUUAGGGAUAACAGCGUAAUUUUUCUGGAGAGUUCAUAUCGAUAGAAGAGAUUGCGACCUCGAUGUUGGAUUAAGAUAAAUAUUUAGGUGUAGCUGCUUAGAUUUAAAGUCUGUUCGACUUU
Molecule: ribosomal RNA, 1199 nt
Filed under: Rivellia mandschurica
Lineage: Eukaryota; Metazoa; Arthropoda; Insecta; Diptera; Platystomatidae
Description: partial 16S ribosomal RNA
Source: RNAcentral